RNAcentral lists this long non-coding RNA (364 nucleotides) under Mus spicilegus (steppe mouse). Its description in RNAcentral is "lncRNA (ENSMSIG00000004615.1)". Lineage: Eukaryota; Metazoa; Chordata; Mammalia; Rodentia; Muridae. The record is from RNAcentral.
CCCAUCUGGUCCCUGGACUCUCUGAACACACUCACGGAUAAGCUCAUUGCCUAAACAGUCUCCUGGUCAUACACAGUCAAGAUUGCUGGAAUGAAGCAUAAUGGUCUGAAUUCCCUGAAUCCUCAGCUGGAACUCUGAGCCACCAGCAGGAACACUGUUCCUGUCCCAGUUGUCUAUGGGAGGUUAAAGAAGAAAGGAUAGUUGAACUGGGACCAGAAAAUGAUAAUCUACACCUGAGAUUGUCAGAGGUAAUGUUUUGCUCUGUCCUGUAGACUUACUGACCAACAUGUGAGUGUUUAUGUUGAGUCAGCUACUGCAGUUGCACAAUAUUUUGUAAAGGAUGGUGGCUUUCCCUUGAUUUUUG